This 72-nucleotide transfer RNA is filed under the name Aureococcus anophagefferens. It matches the Rfam family "tRNA". Rfam says of the family: Transfer RNA (tRNA) molecules are approximately 80 nucleotides in length. Their secondary structure includes four short double-helical elements and three loops (D, anti-codon, and T loops). Lineage: Eukaryota; Pelagophyceae; Pelagomonadales; Pelagomonadaceae. The record is from Rfam by way of RNAcentral.
GGGGAUAUAGCUCAGUGGUAGAGCGCCCGCUUUGCAUGCGGGAUGCCGAGGGUUCAAACCCCUCUAUCUCCA